AUUGAACGCUGGCGGCAGGCUUAACACAUGCAAGUCGAGCGGGGUGAUGGUGCUUGCACUAUCACUUAGCGGCGGACGGGGGAGUAAUGCUUAGGAAUCUGCCUAUUAGUGGGGGACAACAUCUCGAAAGGGAUGCUGAUACCGCAUACGUCCUACGGGAGAAAGCAGGGGAUCACUUGUGACCUUGUGCUAAUAGAUGAGGCGAGGUGGGAUUAGGUAGUUGGGGGGGUAAAGGCCUACCAAGGCGACGAUCUGUAGCGGGUCUGAGAGGAUGAUCCGCCACACUGGGACGGAGACACGGCCCAGACUCCUACGGGAGGCAGCAGUGGGGAAUAUUGGACAAUGGGGGGAACCCUGAUCCAGCCAUGCCGCGUGUGUGAAGAAGGCCUUAUGGUUGUAAAGCACUUUAAGCGAGGAGGAGGCUCUUUUGGUUAAUACCCAAGAUGAGUGGACGUUACUCGCAGAAUAAGCACCGGCUAACUCUGUGCCAGCCGCCGCCGUAA
This 503-nucleotide ribosomal RNA is filed under the name uncultured bacterium. Its description in RNAcentral is "partial 16S ribosomal RNA". It matches the Rfam family "Bacterial small subunit ribosomal RNA", at positions 30 to 523 of the family's 1533-position model. The record is from RNAcentral.